RNAcentral lists this ribosomal RNA (771 nucleotides) under uncultured archaeon. RNAcentral describes it as "bacterial SSU rRNA". It matches the Rfam family "Archaeal small subunit ribosomal RNA", at positions 118 to 894 of the family's 1478-position model. The record is from RNAcentral.
GGUGGAGAAUACUCCCGGGAAACUGGGGCUAAUGCUCCAUAGUGGAUAUGUCCUGGAAUGCUUUAUCCUCGAAAGAUCCGUCGCCUUAGGAUGGGACUGCGUCCGAUUAGGUAGUUGGUGGGGUAACGGCCCACCAAGCCUGUUAUCGGUACGGGUUGUGGGAGCAAGAUCCCGGAGAUGGAUUCUGAGACAUGAAUCCAGGCCCUACGGGGCGCAGCAGGCGCGCAAACUUUACAAUGCGAGCAAUCGUGAUAAGGAAACCCUGAGUGCCUGUCGAUGCAGGCUGUUCAUCUAUCUAAAUCAUAUGUGAAGAAAGGGCAGGGCAAGACCGGUGCCAGCCGCCGCGGUAAUACCGGCUGCUCGAGUGAUGGCCACUAUUACUGGGUUUAAAGCGUCCGUAGCUUGACUGAUAGGUCUCUUGGGAAAUCUUCGCGCUCAACGUGAAGGCGUCUAAGAGAUACCGGCAGUCUUGGAACUGGGAGAGGUAAACCGUACUUCGGGGGUAGGAGUGAAAUCUUGUAAUCCUCGAGGCACGACCUAUGGCGAAGGCAGUUUACCAGAACAGCUUCGACAGUGAGGGACGAAAGCUGGGGGAGCAAACGGGAUUAGAUACCCCGGUAGUCCCAGCCGUAAACAAUGUGCGUUAGGUGUGUCGGUAACCACGUGUUACUGAUGCGCCGAAGAGAAAUCGUGAAACGCACCACCUGGGAAGUACGGUCGCAAGGCUGAAACUUAAAGGAAUUGGCGGGGGAGCACCACAACAGGUGGAGC